AGAGUUUGAUCAUGGCUCAGAGCGAACGCUGGCGGCAUGCUUAACACAUGCAAGUCGCACGGGCAGGGCAACCUGUCAGUGGCGGACGGGUGAGUAACGCGUAGGAAUCUAUCUCUGGGUGGGGGACAACCGUGGGAAACUACGGCUAAUACCGCAUGACACCUGAGGGUCAAAGCAGCAAUGCGCCUGGAGAGGAGCCU
RNAcentral lists this ribosomal RNA (200 nucleotides) under uncultured bacterium. Its description in RNAcentral is "partial 16S ribosomal RNA". It matches the Rfam family "Bacterial small subunit ribosomal RNA", at positions 8 to 232 of the family's 1533-position model. The record is from RNAcentral.